Molecule: RNA transcript, 1563 nt
Organism: Myiozetetes cayanensis
Lineage: Eukaryota; Metazoa; Chordata; Aves; Passeriformes; Tyrannidae
Gene: VPS25
Gene name: vacuolar protein sorting 25 homolog
Exons: 7
Source: RefSeq, a predicted model, not a curated record
GCGGUGGCGGCGGUGGCAGUGGCGGUGCCGAUGGCGGAGACCGAGCCCGCGAGCUUCGCGUGGCCCUGGCAGUACAGCUUCCCGCCCUUCUUCACGCUGCAGCCCAACGGCGAGACGCGGCAGAAGCAGCUGUCGGCCUGGUGCGCGCUGGCGCUGGCGUACAGCCGGCAGCACCGCCUGCCCGCCAUGACGGUGCGGGAAGCGCAGGACAUCCCGCUCUUCGCCAACCGCCGCCUCCAGCGGAAGCUGCCGCUGGAAUCCAUCCAGGUGGUGCUGGAGGAGCUCCGAAAGAACGGGAAUCUGGAAUGGUUAGAUAAGAACAAAACCAGCUUUCUGAUCAUGUGGAGGAGACCAGAAGAAUGGGGAAAGCUCAUCUAUCAGUGGGUGCUGAGGAAUGGCCUGACCAACUCUGUGUUCACGCUGUACGAGCUGGCCAGCGGGGAUGAUACCGAGAGCGAAGAGUUCCAUGGCUUGGAUGAGGCCAUGCUGCUCCGUGCCCUGCAAGCCUUGCAGCAGGAGCACAAGGCUGAAAUUAUCACGCUGGAUGACGGCCGAGGCGUCAAGUUCUUCUGACAGGAGCCCCCUUCCCCGGCUGCAGUCUUCGGUCUCGCUGACAAGGGUCGCUCCCCGGGCCUGGCUUCACGCCCUGACUGCAAGUAGCUGCAUCCUCAGGACUUCUUGGGGCAAGGAGAGUCUGCGAACCCUUCCAAAGACACGACUUAGAAAUUUCCUGAGACCCUCUGUCUGUCUGUUCUUCCUGUUGACGUGUUUGAGAGGCUGAAGCUGCUCUGGGCAGUUCCGAGAGGGACCCCCAGUAGUGAAAAACACCGGGGCUGCUGCUGGUCCUUCUUGCUGUGACAGCCUCGGAGCAGUCCCAGCUGGCUGGUUGAGCUUGUCCUCAAAGGACCCCCUGUCCCACGUGCCUGGGCCCCCCAGUCCCACUGCAGUGCCCUGGGGGUGAGGCAGGAGCAGGGGCCUGGCUGUGGCUGCUGUGCUGUGGAGGCCCUCAAUGGCAGAAGGAAAGUCACUCGCUGCCAAACGGGCUGGGGGAUGCCAAGGAACCAAUUUCAGGGGCCUCACUGGACUGGAAUACUCCCCUGCUCCUCUGGGAUCUUCCAAGGCAUCUCAUUUCACGAUGAAAAGCCUCGAUAAGGGGACAUGUCCCUGCCAGCAACCAAGCCGAGAUCUUUGCCUGUCUCUGUGUGUGUCUCACUGGAGAGAAGGGGCUCCCUGCCAGCCUGGGCCGUGUUCCUGUGCCUGGGCAGUGCAGGGUCCCUGUCAGGGAACUCUGGGUGGGGGCAGCCACAGAGCAAACCCACAGGGGCACGGGCAGCAUUGCUGGAAGAGCUGGUCAUGUGUGGGGGGUAAGCAGAGGGGAGAUCAGCAGUGAGACACAGCUUGGCCAUGGUUUCUGUAGGAACCACAUUUCAUUAAAUGCUUCUCCCUCCUCCUGCCGCCAGGGAUUUGUGGGGAGCAGUCGUGUCGGACGUGGCCACAGCCGAACUUCGGGUCAGCAGCCCCGGUUGCCCGGCGUCACACCGCGGGUGCCAGGUUAGCAUUCAG